This is a long non-coding RNA of Strigops habroptila (Kakapo), 2185 nucleotides long. NCBI's taxonomy places the organism in Eukaryota, Metazoa, Chordata, Aves, Psittaciformes, Psittacidae. The record is from Ensembl.
UUUAUUUUUUCUGCAGCUGAUGAGAACAGACACUCCUGGGGUUGGGUCAAGAGGUAAGCCAAGCUCGUGUUAGAGCAACAGUGCCAAAAUCACAAUAAAAAUUAAACAGAUCUUCCUUCUCGCACUGGGAUCAUUUCCAUUACUGAUUAAAUGGAUAAAGAGUCUUGCAGGCCUGACAUCUUCUUGGAAGAAUCUCAUAUCCUUUAUUAUUUGCACACCUUUCAGAAUACUACUUACGCUUCUUGGAAUACAUUAUCCAUUUCAAUUCCCUCUAUCCUUCACUCUCUGCAGAGAGCCACAAAAGCUCCUUUUAUGCCAGAAGAAAUUUCAGAUGAAUCAGGAAAAAAGUACUUAAUUGAACCAUUUGGGGAAAAAAAGGGUCAUUUCUACUUGUUUUUGAAAGCUUAUGCAUCUCAAAUAUGACAAAUCAAGCCAGAUAUCUUAAUCAUUUGUUGGAAACAUCCUUGUCAGAAACUUAUUCAUAAAGAUUGCAGAUGUGUGAGCUGAAAAGUGUUUGGCAGGGUCCCAGAAGAAAAAAAAAGAGUAUUAACUGGUUGAUUAAAUAGAAAUGUAUUGGAGUCCCACUCAUUUGGAGAACUUUCCAUUAUCCCAUUUGUUCUAGUUGGAAGAAUAAUAGAUAAAUCAGCAGGAUGUCAGGUUUCUGAUGUCCGUCACUGCUACACAUAGAUAUGUUUAUUUGUAUAGGUAUGAUUACAAGACCGUAUGCAUACCUGCACCACACCUGUAUGCUUGUGCAUGGCUAUGCAUAUGGACACGCAGGUCCUCUCACCUGUGAUGACUUUGUCUCCUGUAGAGUUAAAUGGUUUUCUGUUUCAGCAAUUUAAACACCAUUUAAACACUGUUUAACAAAAUCAAGAGCAGUUCUUGGCAAUUAAUUUCUGCAGUCAAUAGUAUUCUCAAACCGGGCAACUCCCCUUGGAGUGGGGAACCAUAACAGCAAAGUCUGUGCAAGUGAAAGAGCAAGACAAUUCAUUAGGCAACUCUGCAGCAGCUAAAAGUGGCGGGGGAUGUCAGCCCAUGCUCCUGUGCUUCAAUACUAAUGAGAGUCAUUGCAUAUUCAUAAUCCUAAAUACAGUCAGCUUCUGAUAAAACUUUUGUCAUCGAAGCUUCACAGCAAGAGCAAAGCAUUGCACUCCUCAUGUCCUGACACUUCCACCAAGCCAACACAAGAGCAGGUUUGAUUAUUUUGCAACUCAGCCUGACAGGGAACUAAGAGAUACUGCCCCAAGGGUCCCGAAACUAAACUUAGUUUGCUUACAAAUCUCCAAGUAAUCAAAGAAACGAAAGAGAGGGAGGAAAAUGGGAGGAAAAAGGUUUUGUCUUGUUAGUGAGUUUUGGGCUUGGGCUUUUUUGUUAUUUUUUAAAGAUAAAGGAGGCUCUAAAGAUGUAGCUUUUGUUAUUGAGUGUUGAGAGUAAUUAUCUGUUAGGCAUUUAGUACAGUUCAUAUCAAUUUUUAUCACGGAGGAAGAAGAACGGCAGGUGCUAGCAAACUUGUUCCCAUGUUGUAGGAACACUGCUGCAUGUCUUAAUAGAUACAAAUCUCUAAAACAGUAUGAAGUUUCACGUCAAUAUGAAUAGCAAAGAUUAGUGAACUCAACCUGUCAGACAUUAAAAUCAGCUCUGCAAGUGUUGUGCUACCCAGAAUUCACUUCUUGCAGGUUCCUUUUCAUUUCUGUUGUCAGCUCCUUCUUCUUCUCACUGUUGUUGCUAUUUUUAUUAUUAGUUUUGAGAAAGUACCCAUCUCCUUCACUGGCAGUAAAAAUCCUGAAUAUGCACAGCUCUGCUGGCCUUUGACCCUGAAAUACCUGUCUGCUGGAGCAGCUCUCUUACCUUCUAUUUCCCAGUCAGCUGUGUGGACAUGUCCAGAGUAACACAGUAGAGGUGAUUAUCAAUCCGAACUAUCUGCUAGGAAUAUUUUAAUUCAGCUUCGUGCUGGGGGAAGGCAAUUCAUGCACUACACGUGCCUCAGAAGGAGGAAGCUGCCUGUUGUCUGCCCACUUUGUUCUUGCACUUUCGAAGGCCACCAUCCUGGUCACCUAAAGAAGAAGCAGAAAGGCCGGCGACAGGGAGCCCGGGCCGGCGACAGGGAGCCCGGGCCGGCGACAGGGAGCCCGGUGCGGCGGCUAGGUCCGUCCACCUCCUCACAGGGUUUCUGCCUCUGUCU